Molecule: ribosomal RNA, 1399 nt
Filed under: Burkholderia mallei 2002721280
Lineage: Bacteria; Pseudomonadati; Pseudomonadota; Betaproteobacteria; Burkholderiales; Burkholderiaceae
Description: 16S ribosomal RNA
Source: RNAcentral
AGGCCGAUCGUCGCGCCGCGCUCGACGUCGAGCGCGCCGCGGCGGAUCAGGUACUCGUUGACGACCGUGUCGAAGUAGCUGUAGUAGACGACGUUGUUCACGUGGCCGUAGACGUCGUUGUCCAUCCAGCGCGUCGUGAUCGGCAGGAAGUGGCGAUAGGCGCUGCGCGGCAGCGGAACGGGUUUGGUCGAGGACAUGUCGGCGCGAGGCGAGAAAACGGUGGCUGAGUGAGGCGUCGAGAGCGGCCGGUCGGUUGCGCGGCGCAAGCGGCGGAAGGGGCGGAAGGGGCGCAAGCGGCAAUGACGGCGAUAGCGGCGCGUUCGCCACGCGGCGACGCCGCGCGCGGCGUCAUCGCGCGGGCGGACGCCCGCGAAAACGCGCGCGGCAACGGCCGCGCGGGCAUCGGCGCGAGCAUGCGCGACGAAAUGCGCGCCGCCGUCACAGCGAUUCGACGAGCAUGCGCCGGUAAUCGUCGGCCGACGCGAUACGCGGGUUCGUCUUGUGGCAAUGAUCGGCGAGCGCGCCCUCGAUCACGUGGUCGAACGCUUGCUCGUCGACGCCCAUUUGCCGCAGCCCCGUCGGCAGGCCGAGACGCGCGGUCAUGUCGUGCAGCGCCUGGGACAGAUCCGCGCGCUCGGGCAGGUUCAUCACGCGGCGCAUCCGCGCAUAGCGGCGCUCGGCGACGACGCUCGGCGCGCUUUCGUUGAAGCGCAGCACCGCGGGCAGCACGACCGCGUUCAGCGUGCCGUGAUGCAGCGAAGUCUUGCCGUCGACCUUCACGCCGCCCAACGGAUGCGACAGCGAGUGCACGCAGCCGAGCCCCUUCUGGAACGCCAUCGCGCCCUGCAUCGACGCGCUCAUCAUCGCGAGGCGCGCGGCGCGAUCGCCGCCGUCGUGCGUCGCGCGCUCGAUAUGCGCCCACGCGCGCUCGAGGCCGUCGAGCGCGAUGCCGUCGGCGGGCGGAUUGAACGCCGGCGCGAGGAAGGUCUCGAUGCAGUGCGCGAUCGCGUCCAUGCCGGUCGCGGCGGUGAGCCCGGGCGGCAGGCCGAGCGUGAGCGACGGGUCGCAGAUCGCCGCCUUCGGCAGCAGGUGCCACGAAUGGAAGCCGAGCUUGCGGCCGUCGGCGAGGAUCAGGAUCGCGCCGCGCGCGACCUCGCUGCCGGUGCCCGAGGUCGUCGGCACCGCGAUGAGCGGCGCGGCGGCCGCGGUGAUCCGCUCGCUGCCGCCUUCGAUCGUCGCGUAUCGGGUGAGCGGCGCCGGAUGCGUCGCCGCGAUCGCGACGCCUUUGGCGAGAUCGAUCGCCGAGCCGCCGCCGACCGCGACGAGCCCGUCGCAGCCCUCGUCGCGAUAACGCUGCGCGGCGGCGAGCACGGCGGCUUCGGUCGGAUUCGACGGCGUG